CGAGGAGUGGCCCAGGCCGAGGGCAUGGCCAAACUCGUGAACAGCCACUGCAAACAGCCUUCAUCUCAGAAGCUCCAGCAGGCACUCUGCAACCACAGCCCGCUGGCACCUGCGCCCAGCCCAGCCUCUCUGACCACGGAAGCCUCUUCCUUGGGGACCCAGCCCAGGCGCCAGGACCAAGCCGCUUCACACUUUAAGCUGCUGGCCGAACACCAGCUCCUCAACAAUUCAUGGGCCAGUGAGAGGCCGAGAAGGGAUAGAGGCAGCAAGAGAGGCCAGCAGCCCCCGGGGAGGCACGGAUUUCCUGGGAUGUUGGUUGAUGUGCUUUAUGGAAAUCUCUAGAAUGGGGAGACUGAGGCACCAAGAGGUCAAGUUAACGGCAUAGCUGGGACGGAGCUUGGACCUGGCUGCGCGGUCCUGCCUUCCGGCAGGGAUCUCAGAUAUCGGGGUCAACCUCGUAAGUACUGUGGGUUUCCCCGUUGCUCUGAGCGCUUUUUCUAAGAAACUGGAGGAUGUCUGGUGCCUUCAUCAGGUAGAGCUUUUUCAUAUCUCCCCCCCACUUCCCCGCCUGGCUGCCUUUGGCCCCGCCCCUUCCUUGCACCCUUCUCACGCUACCAGUUGGGGAAAUGACACCACUGCGCGGCAGAUCCAGCGCCUGAGAUUCUGGGUGUCCGUCUCUGAGGGUCCUCGGCCCCUCCUCUCAUCCUUGGCCACGCAGGCCACUACUGUGUGCUCUCAUUCAGCCCCCAUUCCAGACUCACAGCCCCUCAAGCCACUACCUCACCCCAGCCCCAGUCCCCAGCUCCGCAAUGGCAAAUGCUGAUAAAUGUAUUUCCGAUUUCAUCAAGACACGCUGUUGAUGUAACCUGCAACUUCCUGAGCACAAAGGCCCAGCGCUUCAUCACCAUGCUUACCUCCGCCUCUCGCCCCUGCCCUGCGGUCCUUGCCUCACUCACCUCCUCCAAGGAUGUCCUCGCAUUCAUGCAUGCAAGGAUCUAUUCGUCCAUCUGUCCAUCCACGCGGAUGGCUGCAUCCUGUGUGUCCAUCCACUUCUGCGUCCAGGCAGCCCCCACCCUUUUCUUUCCAUUGGCUCAUCCACUGCCCAGAGUGCUCAAGACGCCUUCAUCCUAAGACCCCCCUCAACCUGUCUGCCCCCCCAGCCGCACCCCGCUCCCUCCCCAGCAAGGUCUCCGGCCAGUGGGCUAUGCUCAGUCUCCUGCUGUUUCUCAGCUCCUCUCACGCCGCUGUGGUCUGGGUUCCUCCCCCACCCACCAAGCCUGUGGGCCAUUUUGUCCCCAGAUGACCAAAUCGAGGCAUAAGUGACUUACUGGACUGAUGUUCACUGCGGCCCGCUUCCUCCUCCGCUCUUGUUCUUGCUCGCCUUUUGGCUUUUUCUCCAUUUCCUUUCAUUCCUGCUGUCCUCACCUUAACAGCUGGCCACGCCACAGCUCUGUCCGCCAUCUGCACACUUACAUUCUUCUGGAACCUUUCCAAUCCCCAGGUGCUACGACCCUCAAAUCUGCCCCUAGGCUCUGUGCUGAAAGCUGUGGAUGAAUUACUCAUUUAAUCUGCAAAGGACUCUUCUUAGCCCCAUUUCUCAGAUGAGGAAACUGAGCACCUGGAGGUCCAGGCACAUCUACAUGUAGCAGGUGGAGGAACCCUGGCUCGAGUUCUGCAACUCAAGUCCUAUUUUUUUU
Phacochoerus africanus (Common warthog) is the source of this 1697-nucleotide long non-coding RNA. RefSeq lists it as uncharacterized. NCBI's taxonomy places the organism in Eukaryota, Metazoa, Chordata, Mammalia, Artiodactyla, Suidae. The record is from RefSeq and is a predicted model, not a curated record. The transcript has 3 exons.